CCAGACUCCUACGGGAGGCAGCAGUGGGGGAUAUUGCACAAUGGGGGGAACCCUGAUGCAGCGACGCCGCGUGGGUGAAGAAGCGCCUCGGCGCGUAAAGCCCUAUCGGCAGGGAAGAAGGAGGACGGUACCUGACUAAGAAGCCCCGGCUAACUACGUGCCAGCAGCCGCGGUAAUACGUAGGGGGCAAGCGUUAUCCGGAUUUACUGGGUGUAAAGGGGGCGCAGACGGCAGCGCAAGCCAGGAGUGAAAGCCCGGGGCCCAACCCCGGGACUGCUCUUGGAACUGCGCGGCUGGAGUGCAGGAGGGGCAGGCGGAAUUCCUAGUGUAGCGGUGAAAUGCGUAGAUAUUAGGAGGAACACCAGUGGCGAAGGCGGUCUGCUGGACAGCAACUGACGCUGAGGCGCGAAAGCGUGGGGAGCAAACAGGAUUAGAUACCCCGGUAU
This 446-nucleotide ribosomal RNA is filed under the name uncultured bacterium. RNAcentral describes it as "partial 16S ribosomal RNA". It matches the Rfam family "Bacterial small subunit ribosomal RNA", at positions 331 to 793 of the family's 1533-position model. The record is from RNAcentral.